RNAcentral lists this transfer RNA (73 nucleotides) under Anaplasma platys. RNAcentral's name for it is "tRNA-Thr". It matches the Rfam family "tRNA". Rfam says of the family: Transfer RNA (tRNA) molecules are approximately 80 nucleotides in length. Their secondary structure includes four short double-helical elements and three loops (D, anti-codon, and T loops). The record is from RNAcentral. Lineage: Bacteria; Pseudomonadati; Pseudomonadota; Alphaproteobacteria; Rickettsiales; Anaplasmataceae.
GCCGUUAUAGCUUAGUGGUAGAGUGCUUCCUUGGUAAGGAAGAGACCCAAGUUCGAUUCUUGGUUACGGCACC